This is a long non-coding RNA of Bos taurus (domestic cattle), 402 nucleotides long. NCBI's taxonomy places the organism in Eukaryota, Metazoa, Chordata, Mammalia, Artiodactyla, Bovidae. The record is from Ensembl.
AGCCAAGUCCUUCCCCUCUCGGUGCCUCUGUUUCCUCGUCUGUCAAGGGGCACAGUCACAACCAGCUGAUGAUAUGUUGAGAGGAUAAAAUGAGUUUAUUCAUGGGCUGGCCUCCCUGGCUGCUUUGCUGGACAAGGAUUGCCACCUGCAGAUCCAACGGGGCCGAUUCAGUGGGGAGUCGAGACUAAAGUCAGCCUUCACUGGGCCUCCUGGCCCCACUGACCCCUGAGACAGAGACCUGAACAUCUGAGCACUUUGAUCUCACGCCAGUCUCACUCAAGGCCGCUCCAUGUUCCCUCCACCGCCCUUCCCUUUCCUCCCGCUUCCUGCUCGCCUUUCUCGGGAACUGCCUCUCCCUCCAGAUGCAGUUCUUGACCUUGUCCCUGCCACAGACUCCUGCCC